AGGAACUCAAAGCAAGAAUGUGAAUAAUGUUUGUAUCCUUGGAAACAUUUUGGCUCUUGGUGGAUCAGUGGACCCUGAUCCAGUUCAUGUGGAGUUACAUGUGAGCAAGAGUGCGAAUAUCAUUUGCGUUCAAUCUUCAGUAGAUCAGUGGACCCUGAUCGACUUCAAGUGGUGCUAAUGGUACUGUGAAGAUUGCAAGUUUAGAAAGAAUGUCUUGGGAAACAAGUG
This is a non-coding RNA of Pocillopora verrucosa, 228 nucleotides long. The record is from RefSeq and is a predicted model, not a curated record. NCBI's taxonomy places the organism in Eukaryota, Metazoa, Cnidaria, Anthozoa, Scleractinia, Pocilloporidae.